This is a small nucleolar RNA of Meriones unguiculatus (Mongolian gerbil), 79 nucleotides long. Lineage: Eukaryota; Metazoa; Chordata; Mammalia; Rodentia; Muridae. The record is from Ensembl.
CUGCUGUGAUGACUUUGAUUGGGUUUCGCAUACUGCUGAGUUCCCAUGAUGCUUCCUUUUCUCUUGGCUGUCUGAGCAA